This 465-nucleotide ribosomal RNA is filed under the name uncultured bacterium. Its description in RNAcentral is "partial 16S ribosomal RNA". It matches the Rfam family "Bacterial small subunit ribosomal RNA", at positions 28 to 507 of the family's 1533-position model. The record is from RNAcentral.
GACGAACGCUGGCGGCGUGCUUAACACAUGCAAGUCGAACGGUGAACUCCGCUUGCGGGGGGAUCAGUGGCAAACGGGUGAGUAACACGUGGGCAACCUGCCCUCAGCUCUGGGAUAACUCCAAGAAAUUGGGGCUAAUACCGGAUAUGACCGCUGACCGCAUGGUCUGGUGGUGGAAAGAUUUAUCGGCUGGGGAUGGGCCCGCGGCCUAUCAGCUUGUUGGUGGGGUAGUGGCCUACCAAGGCGACGACGGGUAGCCGGCCUGAGAGGGUGACCGGCCACACUGGGACUGAGACACGGCCCAGACUCCUACGGGAGGCAGCAGUGGGGAAUAUUGCGCAAUGGGCGAAAGCCUGACGCAGCGACGCCGCGUGGGGGAUGACGGCCUUCGGGUUGUAAACCUCUUUCAGCAGGGACGAAGCGAAAGUGACGGUACCUGCAGAAGAAGCACCGGCCAACUACGUG